GUCAAGUGUGUUAGCAAAGUGUUAAAAUGUCACAAAAUUGCAGCAAGAAUGGGCAUUUUUAUGCAAAGUGCCGUAAAAUGAUGGACGAGAUUGAACUCUCGUACCAGGAAGCUCUCCAAGAGGCAAACGAUGGGUUUGUCCCGCUGCCAAACAUGGACUUUUCGGAUGACGAAACGGUCCCGGAAGUGCCGCAAGGCCAAGCUACGACAUCAAGCACUGCCGGAACAAAUGCUGAAAACGUCGCGAAUGAUGAUGAUGAUUUCGACCACGGGGAACAUUAUCCGAACGGGGAGGACAGCGACGAUUUUUAUCACGGCGCUUCCGAUGAGAAUGACUCUUAUGAGAUCUUUGACCAUCUAAGUUUGUUGGAUUGUCUUAGAUUCUUUGCAAUUAAGAGUCAGCUCCCCCGUUCGGUGGUCAAUAUGCUACUGGCGAUCCUACGGAAGAAGGUAGAUGCCACUCUUCCAAAAGAUAGCCGGACUUUGGUGCGAACACCUCCCCGUGCUGCUGGCAGCAUUUAUAAAAUCGGGGGAGGUGACUUUUGGUACGGAGGAUUAUCGCCAGUCCUGACCAAGUAUUUUCAAAACAUCGAACCCCGAGACGAUCCUUUCAAGUUAGACGUAUCGGUCGACGGGCUACCGCUACAUAAGGGUGGGCCGACCCAGGUUUGGCCUAUUCUGGUGAAAGCGGUAGACUUGCCUAAGCUUCCACUCAUGUUGGUGGCCGCAUAUAGUGGCCAUACAAAGCCGGCAAGUGUGGAAGAAUUUUUGCGGCCGCUAGUGAAUGAUUUUAAUAUCAUUCAGCGAGGAGGCUUGACCAUCGGCGAUAAAACGUUGCAGUUUCGGGUACGCAAUUUUAUCGCUGAUACACCGGCUCGAGCGUUCAUAUUAGCAACGACGAACCACAACGGAUACGACAGUUGUUUAAAGUGCACUUGCCAUGGCGAGUGGUGUGAAGAGGGAAAAAAAAUUAUUUUUGAUUCCGUCGAUGCUCCCCUUCGUACGGACGAAGGGUUUCGUGGUAGAGCAAUAUUGAACCAUCAUCAGGAGUGGCGUACACCUUUGGAAGAAUUAGAUAAUUUUGAUUUAGUCGAUAACGCUCCCACGUCGGAGCGUGAACACCUGUGUGACGAGGGGUGUACACGUUUUAUGCAACGGGGAUUUAUGUUCGGUAAAUUUCCCCGUAAUAAAAAGUGGACACCUCUCCAAAUGGAAGCUGCGUCUAAAUUUUUAAUGCAGACAAAGCUUCCUACUGAGAUCCAUCGAUCAUUUCGGCUUCUCAGAUAUCACGCCUUUUGGAAAGCUACCGAGUGGCGUAGCUAUCUACAUUAUGCAUCAGUUGUGGUUCUGAAGGACCUGGUUGAUCCAAUCGCCUAUGGUCACUUCCUGCUCUACUUUAGUGCUUUGACAAUUUUUUCGACCAAAUUUCAUCAGCACUUGUGGCUCCGUGCUCGAGACUACCUUCGCAUAUUUGUGAAGAAUUUCGGCCAAGUCUACGGUCGAAAAUAUUUAACAAGCAACAUCCACCUUCUCGUUCACAUUUAUAAAGAUGUUGAAAAAUUUGGAGCGCUCGACGAUUUUUCGGCCUACGCAACAGAAAACUUUUUGCAAAAUUUUCCACGCUGGGUCCGAGCGGGCACGAAAUGUGUGGAGCAAAUUGCAAACAGAUCAAGCGAUCUAAUGAGCCUUGAUCUGGUUGCUACCCCGCCAGCUCCACAGUAUCCGAUGUUGAAGGCAAAUGGUGUCGGUCUACAUGUGACCGCCGAUUUUGUCUUGCUGCCAAAAUUUCAAGACCAAUGGUUUUUGACCAAGGACAAUGGCAUAGUUAAAUUUUUGAGUGCGAAAACAUCAAGCUCGCACGAUAUCACCGUAGUUGGGAUCCGGUUUUUAACCAUGGCCACGCUUUACGAGAUCUCAGCAGAAGGCGGUGUUAUUGCACCAAUGUCUUCUGCUGAGAUCCACGUUUACCAAACGAUGGAAAACGCGCCGGCUGUGGUGGUGGAGGUUCCAUGGACUGCAAUCAGAUGCAAAAUGGUUGCAGUGAAGCAACCCACUCGUCCUCUUAAUCUCCCUCCCAUUGAUCCUUCACCAAACUCAACAACUCCUUCCGCCAUAGCCUUUUUUCCUCUUCUCCACACCUUUAUUCCUGAUUAAUUUCCUCCCUUCAAUAGGAAAAAAUUGCCUCCACGACUCCCUCGAAGACGACGUGUGGUUGCACAUGGUAAACUUCCACCGAAACUCCGGAUAAUUCGUGCCCAUCCAUCUGUGACAUGGACGAGAAGGUGGACAAAGCUAAUAUUAAGGGGGGGAGGGGACGACCUUUUUUAACAGCACUACGGGCAAUGUUAGGACAUGUUUGCC
RNA transcript from Anopheles gambiae (African malaria mosquito), 2360 nucleotides. RefSeq lists it as uncharacterized. The transcript is spliced from 5 exons. NCBI's taxonomy places the organism in Eukaryota, Metazoa, Arthropoda, Insecta, Diptera, Culicidae. The record is from RefSeq and is a predicted model, not a curated record.